UACGUAGGGGGCGAGCGUUGUCCGGAUUUAUUGGGCGUAAAGAGCGUGUAGGCGGCCAUACAGGUCCGUUGUGAAAACUGGGGGCUUAACCUCCAGACGUCGAUGGAAACCGUAUGGCUAGAGUCCGGAAGAGGAGAGUGGAAUUCCUGGUGUAGCGGUGAAAUGCGCAGAUAUCAGGAAGAACACCCGUGGCGAAGGCGGCUCUCUGGGACGGUACUGACGCUGAGACGCGAAAGCGUGGGGAGCGAACAGG
This 253-nucleotide ribosomal RNA is filed under the name uncultured bacterium. Its description in RNAcentral is "partial 16S ribosomal RNA". It matches the Rfam family "Bacterial small subunit ribosomal RNA", at positions 524 to 776 of the family's 1533-position model. The record is from RNAcentral.